GUGAAGUCAUGAUACAGAUGGAGAAAUAGUCCCCCUGAGGUCUUGCGCACAGAUUUUAAGAUGAUUCUCACUUACAAGAACACUGAGUGGUUACCAACUGCCCAACAGAUACGUCAACUGCAAGAUGUUCUAUCAAGCAAUUCACUACUUCCUCCCUUCUCAAUCUUCAGGCUCUGCAUAUGGAAAUGAACAUUUCAUUAUGACCCUAUGACCUACAAAGCUCCCUCUCUGUCACUCCUUAUCAUCUUUCCUAGGGAGGCAAUCAAAAUGAAAUGAUUUUAAGAUUCUAGCACUCCCAACUCUAAGAUGAAAAUGAUGCAGCAAUCAUGAACUCCUGUGUUAUCUGUCACUAUCUCAUAAGUCACAUGAUUUGAAGAGAAGAUCAUUCGGAGCAGUGGAAAAAUGAAAUCAAACAUAGCUGCUACCUCAGAUUGAAGAGAUGUCCUCUCCGAUUCUUUAAAGUAUUUCCUAUUCUCCUACCCACCUCCUCUGUUGUUUGCAAGACUCAAAAAGAUAAAUUUAUAGUGAAAUAAGAAUCCUCCAACUUACAUAUUAGAGCUUCUGCAAUUAAAGAAAAACAGAAAUCAGGCUGGGCGCAGUGGCUCACGCCUGUAAUCCCAGCACUCUGGGAGGCCAAGGUGGGUGGAUCACCUGAGGUCAGGAGCUUGAGACCAGCCUGGCCAACAUGGCAAAACCCCAUCUUUACUAAAAAUACAAAAAUCAGCUGGGUGUGGUGGUGGGUGGCUGUAAUCCCAGCUAUUCAGGAGGCUGAGUCAGGAGAAUCCCUUGAACCCAGGAGGCAGAUGUUGCAGUGAGCCGAGAUGGCACCACUGCACUCCAGCCUGAGUGACAGAGUGAUACUCUGUCUCAAAAAGAAAAAAAGAAAAAGAGAAAUCUAUGGGUGAAGACAAAUGGAAUGGCAAUACCUUGGAGUAGCAUUUACUAAUUCAAGCCAUAUAAACCAUACUAAGGUUGUCAGCCCAGAGGGGAGUCCAUCUGCUAUGUAGAUGAGAGAAUGCGACCAGGAAAGUCAGGACACAAAGCCAUGAUUCUUUCAACUUUUUGGCACUUUAAUAAGUGAAUUGCAUGUCCUGUCUUCUCCAUGAACUCAGCAAAGCUACAACUAAGCUCCUCAUCUUGAGAGUUCACCAUGUGCCCACUUUGACCUAUGGAUGGGCCCCUUGGCACUCUACCUUUUCAGUGUCCUCAACUGCACAAACUUCCUGGGCUGCACUGACUGCUGUACCCAGGCAAUUUUUUGGGAGCUCCAAUGUCUUGUCUAGCACAUGACAUGAGGCUGUAGCAUGUUCUUUCAAGUAUUAGUGCUAAAGAGGUCCCAUUCUACUUUCUCUGACUGAUCAGGUCACUGUUUUCAGCUACCUGGCCCUUCUAAGUCAGGGUCACUAGAGUAUUGGGAGGUUUGUAACUUCUUCAUUGGUGUCUUGUGUUUUCCUGUCUUUGAACUUGAGGAAAGCUGGCCCUGGAUGUUCACAACAUCAACCAAGCAAUGAAAACCACAGCACCCUACAGGAAAUUCUGCAUUUCUCUCAAAACAUGCAAAACACAAAAUUGGGUGGAACCACAGAAGGUUAUGGAUAACUCACUACAGUUUGGACUUUCAAAGGCCCUGGGAAAACUAUCCUACUUUUGUGAGAUACUAUUGUUCUACCUGUAAUGCAAGUGAACAGAUCUUAAUAAGGACAAAUAACAAUUUUUUAAAUGUUUACCAUAUUUUCUCAUUUGUUCCUUUCAUCAAGCAUCCAACCUGCCAGACCCUGCACUUGAUGGAUCAGCUGGCACCACCCAAAUCAAUAAACCGGCUCAUCUGAUCUUGUGGCACCCACCCAAGAACUGACUCAGCACAAGGAGACAGCUUCGACUCCCUGUGAUUUCAUCCCUGUCAACCAGCACUCCUGGCUCACUGGCUUCCCCCCACCCAACCAAGUUAUCCUUAAAAACUCUGCUCCCUGAAUGCUCAGGGAGUUUGAUUUGAAUAAUAAUAAAACUCCAGUCUCCUGCAAAAAAAAAAAAAAAA
This 2035-nucleotide long non-coding RNA is filed under the name Homo sapiens (human). RNAcentral describes it as "long independently transcribed non-coding RNA 2042 (LINC02042)". The record is from RNAcentral. Lineage: Eukaryota; Metazoa; Chordata; Mammalia; Primates; Hominidae.